This 148-nucleotide long non-coding RNA is filed under the name Chinchilla lanigera (long-tailed chinchilla). RNAcentral describes it as "lncRNA (ENSCLAG00000028409.1)". The record is from RNAcentral. Lineage: Eukaryota; Metazoa; Chordata; Mammalia; Rodentia; Chinchillidae.
CUCUGGUCUGCAGUAAAGUUCAGCGUAAAUGGUCCUCCUGGCUCUCUGCGGCGCAGUAUACACUGGAAGGAAAACGACAGAGCACAGAGAGACCUUUGAGGACCAGACACUAGAGAAAUACUGCUUCUCUGAUGGAGGCCCUCACAGG